RNAcentral lists this ribosomal RNA (490 nucleotides) under uncultured bacterium. RNAcentral's name for it is "partial 16S ribosomal RNA". It matches the Rfam family "Bacterial small subunit ribosomal RNA", at positions 30 to 507 of the family's 1533-position model. The record is from RNAcentral.
AUUGAACGCUGGCGGCAGGCCUAACACAUGCAAGUCGAACGGUAACAGGAAGCAGCUUGCUGCUUCGCUGACGAGUGGCGGACGGGUGAGUAAUGUCUGGGAAACUGCCUGAUGGAGGGGGAUAACUACUGGAAACGGUAGCUAAUACAGCAUAACGUCGCAAGACCAAAGAGGGGGACCUUAGGGCCUCUUGCCAUCGGAUGUGCCCAGAUGGGAUUAGCUAGUAGGGGGGGUAACGGCUCACCUAGGCGACGAUCCCUAGCUGGUCUGAGAGGAUGACCAGCCACACUGGAACUGAGACACGGUCCAGACUCCUACGGGAGGCAGCAGUGGGGAAUAUUGCACAAUGGGCGCAAGCCUGAUGCAGCCAUGCCGCGUGUAUGAAGAAGGCCUUCGGGUUGUAAAGUACUUUCAGCGGGGAGGAAGGGAGUAAAGUUAAUACCUUGGCUCAUUGACGUUACCCGCAGAAGAAGCACCGGCUAACUCCGUG